AUUGAACGCUGGCGGCAGGCCUAACACAUGCAAGUCGAGCGGAUGAAGGGAGCUUGCUCCUGGAUUCAGCGGCGGACGGGUGAGUAAUGCCUAGGAAUCUGCCUGGUAGUGGGGGAUAACGUCCGGUAACGGGCGCUAAUACCGCAUACGUCCUGAGGGAGAAAGUGGGGGAUCUUCGGACCUCACGCUAUCAGAUGAGCCUAGGUCGGAUUAGCUAGUUGGUGGGGUAAAGGCCUACCAAGGCGACGAUCCGUAACUGGUCUGAGAGGAUGAUCAGUCACACUGGAACUGAGACACGGUCCAGACUCCUACGGGAGGCAGCAGUGGGGAAUAUUGGACAAUGGGCGAAAGCCUGAUCCAGCAAUGCCGCGUGUGUGAAGAAGGUCUUCGGAUUGUAAAGCACUUUAAGUUGGGAGGAAGGGCAGUAAGUUAAUACCUUGCUGUUUUGACGUUACCAACAGAAUAAGCACCGGCUAACUUCGUG
Molecule: ribosomal RNA, 484 nt
Filed under: uncultured bacterium
Lineage: Bacteria
Description: partial 16S ribosomal RNA
Rfam family: Bacterial small subunit ribosomal RNA
Source: RNAcentral